This 180-nucleotide ribosomal RNA is filed under the name uncultured Glomeromycotina. RNAcentral describes it as "partial small subunit ribosomal RNA". It matches the Rfam family "Eukaryotic small subunit ribosomal RNA", at positions 652 to 830 of the family's 1831-position model. The record is from RNAcentral. Lineage: Eukaryota; Fungi; Glomeromycota.
GGAUUAAUUUACUGGUCGUGCUAUUGUACGUACUGGUUUUAUUGAUUCCUCCCUUCUGACGAACUAUGAUGUCAUUAAUUUGGUGUCAUAGGGAAUCAGGACUGUUACUUUGAAAAAAUUAGAGUGUUUAAAGCAGGCAUAAGCUUGAAUACGUUAGCAUGGAAUAAUAGAAUAGGACUU